GGGCCUAUAGCUCAACGGUAGAGCUGGCGGCUCAUAACCGCUUGGUUGCAGGUUCGAAUCCUGCUGGGCCCA
RNAcentral lists this transfer RNA (72 nucleotides) under Myxococcus sp. RNAcentral describes it as "tRNA-Ile". It matches the Rfam family "tRNA". From Rfam's summary of the family: Transfer RNA (tRNA) molecules are approximately 80 nucleotides in length. Their secondary structure includes four short double-helical elements and three loops (D, anti-codon, and T loops). Lineage: Bacteria; Pseudomonadati; Myxococcota; Myxococcia; Myxococcales; Myxococcaceae. RNAcentral also lists the same sequence under 1 other name. The record is from RNAcentral.